This is a non-coding RNA of Benincasa hispida (wax gourd), 1720 nucleotides long. NCBI's taxonomy places the organism in Eukaryota, Viridiplantae, Streptophyta, Magnoliopsida, Cucurbitales, Cucurbitaceae. The record is from RefSeq and is a predicted model, not a curated record.
UUGUGUUUAUGUGAUAAAUAUUUGUGGAUGAAUUGUUGAUGAAUGUUUCGUGAUAGAAUUCUCGUUUUAAGGCUUUCUUUAAGUUUUACAAAGUUAAACGAUCAGAUAGCUUUUGUUAUGCGAUCAUAUAGAGUUUACUACACAAUCGUAUAGCAUUUGCUAAACGAUCGUAUAACUAAUGCUACACGAUCGUUUAGAGUUUUUUACACGAUCUUGUUUCGUUGGCUGCAUGAUUAUGUAGGCGCUCGCUUACUAGAUGAUCACGCAGUAUUGGAUACUCGAUGCAUCCUUGCGCGCUAAACGAUCGUGUAGCACCGUCCAUCUAUGGCUUCUUCCCUGCAGAUAGAUAGUUUUUGGUAUGACUAUGUAUGGAUGUGAAUAUUUCUCUACCACUGAUAGACAAUGAUACACAUAUAUAACUGUCUAUAAGUUAUACAAAGUGAUAGAGUUUUAUCACUUUCUAUCAGUGAUAGACAGUGAUAUAGUUCUACCACUGUCUAUCGCUGAUAAAAAGUGAUAAAACUCUAUCAUUCUCUAUAACGGUUAUUGAGCUUUAUCACUAGUGAUAUACCGUUCUUGAUAUAUUGUAAUUGAGCUCUAUCAUUGUCUAUCACUGUCUUUAUACAUAUUAAGGCUUUCUUUAAAUUUUAGAAAGUUAAACGAUUGGAUAGCUUUUGUUAUGCGAUCAUGUAGAGUUUACUACACGAUCGUGUAGCAUUUUCUAAACGAUCGUAUAGCUAAUGCUACGCGAUCGUGUAGAGUUUUUUACAUGAUCAUGUUGCAUUGGCUGCAUGAUCAUGUAGGCUAAAUGAUCGUGUAGCACUGUCCAUCAAUGGCUUCUUCCUCGCAGAUAGAUAAUCUUUGUCGUGACUAUGUUUGAAUGUGAACAUUUCUCUACCAUUGAUAGACAAUGAUAGACAUAUAUCACUGUCUAUAAGUUAUACAAAGUGAUAGAGUUUUAUCACUUUCUAUCAGUGAUAGACAGUGAUAUAGUUCUAUCAUUGUCUAUCAUUGAUAGAAAGUGAUAGAACUCUAUUACUCUCUAAAGCAUGAGCUGCAAGCCAUGCACUCCACUUCUUUGCAUGCUUUUCUAGUAUAUAUAAAGAAGAUUGGAGUCAUUUGAGGAGAAUGAAUGCAGAUUUUUUGAGAGAAAAAUUUUUGGGAGAAGAGACUGUCUUCUUUGAUCGGCUACUGUGAGUUCUUCUUUGUUCUUCACUUCUUCAAGUUGUUCUUGAGUCCCACAACUCUGCCUAAAGCUCCAAGAGGAUAGUAGGGAAGGCUUUGAGGUGGUUCACGAUGAUAUCAAGUGAAGACUGCUGCUGUACACACGGUUUCUUGGAGAGCUCAUCAAAGGGGUCCAAGAAGUCUUGUUCCUGAGCUUGUGGGAGGAACCUUGCAUGGGAUGGUCAGAGGGUCGACGGGCCUAGCUUCUAAGCCCAUGAGAGGGAGAAUUAUGUGCACAUAAGUUUAUGAAUGUUAUAAAUGUGAAAUCUUAACUAUCUACCGUGUGUGUAGGUAAGUUUGUGAAAAGCUUUCAUUCAGGAUGGAGGUUUGCGUAGUAACCUCAAGUUAUGAUGUUUGUAGCAAAAGAGUCCAGGUUGCAGGAAGUGGUCGAGGUCUGCCACAAGAUAGAAUAAUUACUAGAAUAAAGUUUGUAGUCGGGAUGGGGCUGCUAUUGUAAAACACAGUUUAAAAUGUAUAAACUUGUUUCCUAAACAAA